RNAcentral lists this ribosomal RNA (461 nucleotides) under marine bacterium SIMO-1583. RNAcentral describes it as "bacterial SSU rRNA". It matches the Rfam family "Bacterial small subunit ribosomal RNA", at positions 91 to 533 of the family's 1533-position model. Lineage: Bacteria; Bacillati; Bacillota; Bacilli; Caryophanales. The record is from RNAcentral.
GUUAGCGGGGACGGGUGAGUAACACGUGGGUAACCUGCCUGUAAGACUGGGAUAACUCCGGGAAACCGGAGCUAAUACCGGAUAGUUCCUUGAACCGCAUGGUUCAAGGAUGAAAGACGGUUUCGGCUGUCACUUACAGAUGGACCCGCGGCGCAUUAGCUAGUUGGUGGGGUAAUGGCUCACCAAGGCGACGAUGCGUAGCCGACCUGAGAGGGUGAUCGGCCACACUGGGACUGAGACACGGCCCAGACUCCUACGGGAGGCAGCAGUAGGGAAUCUUCCGCAAUGGACGAAAGUCUGACGGAGCAACGCCGCGUGAGUGAUGAAGGUUUUCGGAUCGUAAAGCUCUGUUGUUAGGGAAGAACAAGUGCGAGAGUAACUGCUCGCACCUUGACGGGUACCUAACCCAGAAAGCCACGGCUAACUACGUGCCAGCAAGCCGCGGUAAAUACCGUUAGGUG